RNAcentral lists this small RNA (255 nucleotides) under Arabidopsis thaliana (thale cress). RNAcentral's name for it is "ATSL210530". Lineage: Eukaryota; Viridiplantae; Streptophyta; Magnoliopsida; Brassicales; Brassicaceae. The record is from RNAcentral.
UUUUUUUUCUAAUGGCAUAUUUAUGUAAUUACUUACAAAAAUUAAGGUUACAUUUAAAAUGUACUUCCCAAAUAAUAUAGUAGGAUUUUGGUUGCUUCGUAUCUCCUUUCCAUUUAUACUAGAUUCUGAUCCGCACAUACGUGCGGGGUUUCAUAUUUUAAGAAAUAUAUUAGAAUACAUUUUUAGUGAAAGAUAUUGUAGUGUAUAAAUUAUAAGGUGUAUAGAAAAGUAUAUAGUAUUAUUUAUUAUAUAAUA